Molecule: long non-coding RNA, 574 nt
Organism: Brassica oleracea var. oleracea
Lineage: Eukaryota; Viridiplantae; Streptophyta; Magnoliopsida; Brassicales; Brassicaceae
Exons: 2
Source: RefSeq, a predicted model, not a curated record
AGUUUAUGAAAGGGCGGAAUGCACUUUGUUUGUUAUCCACCAUUGAUAGAGAAAAAUCUAACGGACACAAAUGAUCUAUUUUGUGUUUCUUCUCUCAACUCUUUUCUUUACUCUUUCUUCCUUUCACUCAACUCUUUUCUUUCUUCAGAUUGAAUCUUUUCUCCUGCUCUCUUCGUUACACGUUAACAUAGAACGUCUAUGAUCAAAUCUGAGAAAUGAAAGAGGUGAUGAAACGCGAAGGAGAAGUGGUGGCGUGAUGAAGCGGACGCGGUGGUGGCGUGAGGAUCGGAGGCAGUGUGACGAAACGAAUUUUCACAAGAGCCUGAGAUGACUCGGUGGUUUCAGUUUAGAUGAUGACUCGGUGAGUUCGAGAAGAGGAAGAUGGAGAUAGGUGAAUGUGUCCAGGCUAGGCGGCGGUGGAGGCGAGACGAAUGAAAGCUUACCGGUAGUGGACGUGUGAUACGGAGGUGAACCGGAGGCGGAGGUGACAAAAGCGGUGGCGGAGGCUCAACGUAGAAAUAUGUUUUUUAUUUGUUAUAUUUUAUAAUUAAUUAAUAAAAAUAUUUUUUUUUUA